GGGAAAUGAGAGUCUGGCUCUAUGCCUAUUUUAUCAAAAUAGUCCUUAAUUUCGGGCACAUUUCC
Molecule: transfer RNA, 65 nt
Filed under: Mantheyus phuwuanensis
Lineage: Eukaryota; Metazoa; Chordata; Lepidosauria; Squamata; Agamidae
Description: tRNA-Ile
Source: RNAcentral